RNAcentral lists this ribosomal RNA (306 nucleotides) under uncultured fungus. RNAcentral describes it as "partial small subunit ribosomal RNA". It matches the Rfam family "Eukaryotic small subunit ribosomal RNA", at positions 30 to 341 of the family's 1831-position model. The record is from RNAcentral. Lineage: Eukaryota; Fungi.
GCUUGUCUCAAAGAUUAAGCCAUGCAUGUGUAAGUAUCAGAAGUCUGAACUUCAAAACUGCGAAUGGCUCAUUAUAUCAGUUAUAGUUUAUUUGAUAGUACCUUACUACUUGGAUAACCGUAGUAAUUCUAGAGCUAAUACAUGCAAAAAGCCUGGACUUCUGGAACAGGCGUAUUUAUUAGAUAUACAAACCAACCGCUUCGGCGACCUUGGGUGACUCAUAAUAACUUCGCGAAUCGUAUGCUUCGGCGACGAUGAUUCAUUCAAAUUUCUGCCCUAUCAGCUUUUGAUGGUAGGGUAUUGGCC